RNAcentral lists this transfer RNA (63 nucleotides) under Heterocephalus glaber (naked mole-rat). It matches the Rfam family "tRNA". Rfam says of the family: Transfer RNA (tRNA) molecules are approximately 80 nucleotides in length. Lineage: Eukaryota; Metazoa; Chordata; Mammalia; Rodentia; Bathyergidae. The record is from Rfam by way of RNAcentral.
GGAGGUGUAGCUCAGUGGUAGAGCACUUGCCUAGCAUGCAUGAGGCCCUGGAUUCCACCUCUG